AUCAGGAACUCGAAUGACGAACACUUAACCAAAGAUAAGUAACGAUACCCAUUUCUUAAUUUGUAAAUACCUAUGACUUAUAGAUCCAAAAAAUCUAAUCUUUUAUUUUACCUGGUCAGGGUUAAAUUACUUUCAAUAAGAGGAAGAUUAGAGACAACAAUUGGAUUGAAGUUUGGCCUAAAACUUACCUGUGAGUUUUGGAUUUCUUUUUCCUUGCAAGUAGGGAAAAAAUUCCGUCUACAAUGGAUCACUAAGCUUUUGAGUGGAGCUUGAAUAUAUAUAAUCGAAUUGAGUCUUCUUUCAAAGAGUCAGGAAAACAAAUGAAGAACACUAAAUUAAAGAUAAGUAACGAAAUCCUCUUAUUGACUUGUAGAUGGCUCUACUACAAUUUUUUUUUUUUGGACAAACUCUAAUGUUUAAUUUUACUUGGUCAGGGUAAAAUUACUUUCAGUAAGACGAUAAUUGGGGAACAAAUGUGUUGAAGGUUGACUUAUAAGAAACCAGUUAAUUCCUGUUACAGGGUUACAUAAGUUAAAACUUUGAAAAUAGAAGUGGAAGAGUAACGAAGCAAUCUAUACUAUAUAUACUGGGUAGUUGAGAUUCUGAGCAAUGAAUAAUAAAAGUGUCUGAUAAUGCAUAUAUUGAUUCUUGUAUUUAGUCA
Non-coding RNA from Camelina sativa (false flax), 661 nucleotides. Lineage: Eukaryota; Viridiplantae; Streptophyta; Magnoliopsida; Brassicales; Brassicaceae. The record is from RefSeq and is a predicted model, not a curated record.